UGCACCCCAGGUCAGGGGCUACCCAUUGAGUUUAAGUAUCAAUAAGCGAGGAAAGAAACUUACAAGAUUCCCUUAAGAACGGCGUAUUUAACCGGAAGAGCCUAGUUGAGAACUGCAAAGCCAUCCGGUCUGUAGUCUGUAGAAGUGACCUCAGCGGCGGACUGACCUAGGUCCCCUGGAAGGGGGGCGCCGAGAGGGUGAGAGCCCCGCCGUACUGGACCUGUCGCAACACCUAGGCACUCACGGCGAGUCGGUUGUUUGGGAAUGCAGCCCAAAUCGGGCGGUAAAUUCCGGCCCAAGGCCACGGGCGUAGAGACCGAGCAGCAAAACAAGUACCGCUGAGGGAUGAAAAGGACUUUGGAAAGAGAGCCGCGAGUGCUUAGCUCAAUGGGAGGGAAGCUUAAUGGGGCCGGCGACGCGCUUCGACGCAUGUGGAACGGUCACAAGCCGUCCGCCAGUCGACCGGUAUGGACCGACGCGGGCGGCAUCCUAAGCCCCGUUGUUGACACCCGCGAGAUGGUGUCCUCGAUCGUGGAGGGCAGCACGCUACCGCGAUGGCGGCUUCGCACCUGCUCCAGGCGGCCGGCUCAAGGGCUCCCCAUUCAACCUGGUCUUGAAACACGGACCAAGAGUCUGAUAUGUGCGAAGUCAACGGGUAAGUAAACCCAGCGCGCAAGGAAGCUGAUCGGCGAUCCCAGUAAUGUCGACCCACCUUGAUCUUUUGAGAGGGGUUCGAGGUGAGCAUGCCUGUCGGGACCCGAAAGAUGGUGAACUAUGCCUGAGCGGGGCUGCCAGAGGAAACUGUGAUAGGCCCGGGCCGGAGCAGCACUGCAGCAAAUCGCUCGCCUGACUUUGGGUAUAAGGGCUUAAAUUAAUCAAACCAUCUAGUAGCUGUCUCUCCAAGUUUCUCAGAUAGCCGGAGCUCGAUGAAGUUCUAUCGUGUAAAGCCAAUGAUUAUAAGAACUGGGGGGCGCAAUGCCCUCGACCUAUUCUCAAACUUUAAAUAGGGUAGGGACGGCGUGGCUGCUUCGCUGAGCCAAUAUGGAAUCAAGAGCUCCAAGGGCCAUUUGUGUUAACUGGCGAAGGGAUUUAACCGAAGUCGGGUUGUUUUGCGUCAACUACGCUUAACCUAGAACCCACAAAGGCGCUAUCGACAUGACAGCAGGGACGGUGGUCAUGGGAAGUCGAACUGCUUAAGGAGUGUGUAACAACUCACCCGUCAAUCAACUAUUCUUUAAAUGGAUGGCGCCUGAAGCUGACCUACACCCACCGUCAGUACAUUGCUAGGCCUCGAGUAGGGAGGGCUGGCACGCUGCAAAACUCAAGGUGAGUUCAUGGACGCCAUUCGGUGCGGAUCUGGUAGUAGCAAUUCAAAAUGAGAACUUUGAAGGUCAAGAGGGAAAGGGUUCCAUGAACGCAGACCAUGGGUUAACAUCCCAAGAGACCUGGGGAAGCCUGUCCGAUAGCGGCACCACGCAGAGCUUCAAAGGGAAUCGCUAAAAUUCCCGAACUGGAUGUGGCGAAGAUCGCAACGUUAGGGGAAACGACGUCGUCGAGGGCCUCGGAAGAGUUAUCUUUCUUAGUUUAACAGCCUGCCCACCCUGAAACGGUUUUAGCUGAGGAAUCCAGUUGCUGGAAGCACCGCACGUCAAGGUGGUGUCUGCGGGCGUUUCUGCCGCCCGUCCGGAGGACCGAAAAGCCUUUCCACGCCCGGUCGCAUUCACAUAACCGGCAUCAGGGUCUCCAAGGUGAACAGCCUCUGGUCAAUGGAACAAAUGCAGGCAAGGGAAGUCGCAAAUGAUCCAACCCGUGCGAUUGUCGAUAUUGGGCUCCGGGGGUCCUCUGUCCCAACCCAUCGGCUGUUGGUGGACUGCCUCGAGCUGCUCCCGGCGGCGAGCUGGCUCGCUGCGUCGCCCGGGACGGACUGGGAACGCUCUUCGGGCCUUCCCCGGCGCCUAACAAAUGGGCUCAGAACUGGUACGGACAAGGGGAACUGACUGUUUAAUUAAAACAAAGUAUCAUGAUGGUCCCAGCUGGAUGCCAACGCAGGAUUUCUGCCCAGUGCUCUGAAAUGUCAAAGUGAAGAAAUUCAACCAAGCUGGUAAACGGCGGAGUAACUAUGACUCUCUUAUGGUAGCUAAAAUGCCUCGCUGCCAUCCAAUUAGUGACGCGAUGGAAUGGAUUAACGAGAUUCACCUGUCCCUGUCUACUAUCCAUACGUAAAACCACAGCCAAGGAACGGGCUUUGGUAGAAUCAGCGGGAAAAAGAAGACCCUGUUGAGCUUGACUCUAUCCCACUUGUAACCACUUGAGAGGUGGUGGAUAAGUGGGAGCCGGAGACGGCAAAAGUGAAAUACCAUUACUUUAACGUUAUUUUACUUAUUAUCUGCGGACGUAAGCGGCCUCCUUUUAGAACCAAGACGCCGCAUCGAUCCGGGCGAAGACAUUGUCAGUGGGAGUUUGGUCAGCGCACAUCUGUUAAAAGCAUAACGCAGGUGUCCUAAGAUGAGCUCAACGAGAACAGAAACGGUGGAACAAAAGGGUAAAAGCUCGCUUGACUGGAUUUUCAAGAUUUAAUACGGUCCGGAAAGCUGCAGUCUAUCGAUCUCAGGAAAUUUCGGAAUUUGAAGCUAGAGGCCGUAAAAGUUACCAGGGAUAAUCCGUUUGCAGCAGCUGCUGCCUAUAGCGACGUUGCUUUUUGAUCCUUCGAGCGUCGGCUCUUCCUAUCAUUGUAGCGUAAUUCACCAAGUGUUGGACUGUUCACCCACCAUUGGGGAACGAGCUGGCUUAUGGUGUAUCGAGACAGGUUAGUUUUACCCAUCGAAGGAUAAAUACGAAUAGUAAUUCAACCAAGACGAGAGGAACCGUUGAUUGCCAAGACAAUUGGUCAUCGCCGCUUUGCUGCGCCAGUGGCUACCGUAUGUUGGAUUGGCGACUGAACGCCGAAGUCAGAACUGGCUAUACCGAUGCAUGUGCUCGCCGCUCGUUUGUCGAAUUUCAGUAGGGGCUUCUUGACGUUUCCAAAGGCACGUGGUCGGCGAGGGUCAGCGCUGUGGAUGGGGUUUUCACGGCCGGGUCAUUUUAGUACAAUUCUCCUGGCUAUGGUAGAAUCCUUUGCAUACACUGAACACGCUGACGGGUAUUAGGCUGCGGAGUGUUGCCAAUGAUCCGCUGAGAUUCAGC
This 3183-nucleotide ribosomal RNA is filed under the name Santalum album (white sandalwood). RNAcentral describes it as "eukaryotic LSU rRNA". It matches the Rfam family "Eukaryotic large subunit ribosomal RNA". The record is from RNAcentral. Lineage: Eukaryota; Viridiplantae; Streptophyta; Magnoliopsida; Santalales; Santalaceae.